GGGGAAUAUUGGACAAUGGGGGCAACCCUGAUCCAGCGACGCCGCGUGUGUGAAGAAGGCCUGCGGGUUGUAAAGCACUUUUAGUGGGGAGAAAAAGCUACGGGCCAAUACCCUGUGGUCUUGAUUUAACCCAAAGAAAAAGCACCGGCUAACUCUGUGCCAGCAGCCGCGGUAAUACAGAGGGUGCAAGCGUUAAUCGGAAUUACUGGGCGUAAAGCGUGCGUAGACGGUCAUUUAAGUCGGGUGUGAAAUCCCCGGGCUCAACCUGGGAAUUGCAUUCGAUACUGGAUGGCUAGGGUGCGGAAGAGGGAAGCGGAAUUUCCGGUGUAGCGGUGAAAUGCGUAGAUAUCGGAAGGAACACCAGUGGCGAAAGCGGCUUCCUGGUCCAGCACCGACGUUCAGGCACGAAAGCGUGGGGAGCAAAC
RNAcentral lists this ribosomal RNA (425 nucleotides) under uncultured bacterium. RNAcentral describes it as "bacterial SSU rRNA". It matches the Rfam family "Bacterial small subunit ribosomal RNA", at positions 356 to 773 of the family's 1533-position model. The record is from RNAcentral.